Molecule: long non-coding RNA, 1688 nt
Filed under: Medicago truncatula (barrel medic)
Lineage: Eukaryota; Viridiplantae; Streptophyta; Magnoliopsida; Fabales; Fabaceae
Description: long non-coding RNA (MTRU_LNC002202)
Source: RNAcentral
CACUCUCGAAGUUGAGAGUUCAGAUACCAUAGACAAUGUUAAGGCAAAGAUUCAAGACAAGGAAGGAAUCCCACCUGACCAGCAGCGUCUGAUUUUUGCUGGAAAGCAGCUGGAGGAUGGGCGUACCCUUGCUGAUUAUAACAUCCAGAAGGAGUCCACCCUCCAUUUGGUGCUCCGUCUCCGUGGUGGUAUGCAAAUAUUUGUGAAGACUCUCACUGGAAAGACAAUCACCCUUGAGGUGGAGAGCUCUGAUACCAUUGACAAUGUUAAGGCCAAGAUACAGGACAAAGAAGGUAUUCCACCAGACCAGCAGAGGCUCAUCUUUGCUGGAAAACAGCUUGAAGAUGGCAGAACCUUGGCUGACUACAACAUCCAGAAGGAGUCAACUCUCCAUCUUGUGUUGCGACUUCGCGGUGGUAUGCAGAUUUUUGUAAAGACCCUUACAGGAAAGACAAUUACUUUGGAGGUAGAGAGCUCAGAUACGAUUGACAAUGUAAAGGCAAAGAUUCAGGACAAAGAGGGUAUUCCCCCAGAUCAGCAGAGGCUCAUUUUUGCUGGAAAGCAGCUUGAAGAUGGCAGAACUCUUGCUGAUUACAACAUCCAGAAAGAGUCAACUCUUCACCUUGUCUUGCGUCUUCGUGGUGGUAUGCAGAUUUUUGUGAAGACUCUUACUGGCAAGACAAUUACUUUGGAGGUAGAGAGCUCGGACACAAUUGACAAUGUGAAGGCCAAGAUACAAGACAAGGAGGGUAUUCCCCCAGACCAGCAAAGGUUGAUUUUUGCUGGAAAGCAACUUGAAGACGGUCGAACUCUGGCUGAUUAUAAUAUCCAGAAAGAGUCGACUCUUCAUCUUGUCUUGCGGCUUCGUGGUGGUAUGCAGAUUUUUGUUAAGACCCUAACUGGAAAAACGAUUACUUUGGAGGUUGAGAGCUCAGACACAAUUGACAAUGUAAAGGCUAAGAUUCUGGACAAGGAGGGCAUUCCUCCAGACCAGCAAAGGUUGAUUUUUGCUGGAAAGCAGCUUGAAGAUGGAAGGACCUUGUCAGAUUAUAACAUCCAGAAGGAAUCAACCCUUCAUCUUGUCCUUCGUCUGAGGGGAGGCAUGCAGAUCUUUGUGAAGACUUUGACAGGAAAGACCAUUACAUUGGAGGUGGAAAGCUCUGACACCAUUGAUAAUGUUAAGGCUAAAAUACAGGAUAAGGAGGGAAUCCCACCAGAUCAGCAGAGGUUGAUCUUUGCUGGGAAGCAGCUUGAAGAUGGCCGGACUUUGGCUGAUUAUAACAUUCAGAAAGAGUCCACCCUUCACCUUGUCCUUCGUCUGAGGGGAGGUAUGCAGAUCUUUGUGAAGACAUUGACCGGAAAGACCAUCACCUUAGAGGUGGAAAGUUCAGACACUAUCGAUAAUGUCAAGGCAAAAAUCCAGGACAAGGAGGGAAUCCCCCCAGAUCAGCAGAGGUUGAUCUUUGCUGGGAAGCAAUUGGAGGAUGGAAGGACCCUUGCUGACUACAACAUUCAGAAGGAGUCUACUCUUCACCUUGUUUUGCGUCUUCGUGGUGGAUUUUAAGUAUUUGGGUUGUUUAGUUUUAUUUUAUUUUAUUGUGUGCUGUGUCCUAGCAGGUCUUUUUUCAGUUUGAGAACUUAUUGCAUGGGUCUUGGAUAAUGGCCUUUUACUUUAGCUUGUUGUGGUA